Molecule: non-coding RNA, 717 nt
Organism: Benincasa hispida (wax gourd)
Lineage: Eukaryota; Viridiplantae; Streptophyta; Magnoliopsida; Cucurbitales; Cucurbitaceae
Source: RefSeq, a predicted model, not a curated record
CCCUUCACGAGCCAGCUUGCCCACCGAGUAGAGUCAUCCCGAUCUGUUCGCCCAGCCCUCAUGCCAGAUCGCCCGCCGUGUGGAGUCAUCCAACCACGGGUCAUCAUUCGGGUUUCAGCCUUCGUGAGGCCGUUCGACACCCCAGCCAACCGUCCACGUUUAGCAGUCGAAUUUUUCGCCGCCGUCGAAGCCUCAACCAUCACUUGAGUCAUCGGCCACCACUGCGUAAUCUCAAUGGAAUCUUGUGUUUUGGGGAUUUUGGAGAUUGACUUGAUAGUUUGAAGGAGUUUAAGAGAAUUUUGGUGUGCUAGCAAGCAAAGUUAAGGUGAUUUCGGCAAGGAUUUUGAAUUAAAUUCCAAGAUUGUGAAGAUUAGAAGGGUAUUGGUUGCUCAAAUAAUUGUUUGGGCUUAAAUUCUACAUUUGGAGGUGAAUUUGAAUCGGACCACAUCUUAGGUUUGAUUAAGGAUUUGAGAAUUUCACAAAGAUUCAAUUGUUUUUUGGUUCAACCUAUCAUCAAGGUAAGUAAUCUUACUACUGAAAUUGCCCACGGGCCAGAUACUAGAUAUAGCUAGCAUGAUAGAUGAAUAUUAUGACAGAGCGAUGACAUGAUAGACGGAUAGUAUAGUAUAACCGAUGUAUGUUCUUGUAUGAGGAUCUGAAAGAUUUAUUUGUGCACGUAGAUACUUGCAUGCUAGCAUGAGAUGAUACUUGAUUCCA